GCCGGAGGAUGCAAGCGUUAUCCGGAAUUAUUGGGCGUAAAGGGUGCGUAGGUGGUCAGACAAGUCCCAUGUCAAAGCAUGGUGCUUAACGCCAUAAGGCGUGGGAAACUGUCAGACUAGAGUACAGCAGGGGCAGGAGGAAUUCCCGGUGUAGCGGUGAAAUGCGUAGAUAUCGGGAAGAACACCAGUGGCGCAAGCGUUCUGCUGGGCUGUAACUGACACUGAGGCACGAAAGCUAGGGGAGCGAAAGGG
This 252-nucleotide ribosomal RNA is filed under the name uncultured bacterium. RNAcentral's name for it is "partial 16S ribosomal RNA". It matches the Rfam family "Bacterial small subunit ribosomal RNA", at positions 524 to 776 of the family's 1533-position model. The record is from RNAcentral.